Molecule: ribosomal RNA, 468 nt
Filed under: uncultured bacterium
Lineage: Bacteria
Description: partial 16S ribosomal RNA
Rfam family: Bacterial small subunit ribosomal RNA
Source: RNAcentral
GACGAACGCUGGCGGCGUGCUUAACACAUGCAAGUCGAACGGAAAGGCCCUGCUUUUGUUGGAUGCUCGGGUGACGAACGGGUAAGUCACACGUGAGUAGCCUGCCCUUGACUUUGGGCUAACUUCAAGUAACUGGGGCUAAUACCGUGUGGGACCUCCUCCUGCAUGGUGGGGGUUGGCACGUUUCGGCGGUUGGGGAUGGACUCGCGGCUUAUCAGCUUGUUGGUGGGUUAGUGGCUUACCAAGGCUUGGACGGGUAGCCGGCCUGAGAGGGUGACCGGCCACAUGGGGACUGGGAUCCGGCCCAGCCCCCUACGGGAGGCAGAGGGGGGGAAUAUGGAACAAUGGGCGGAGCCUGGAGGCAGCAACGCGGCGGGCGGGAUGACGGCUUUCGGGUGGUAAACCGCUUCCGCCGGGGACGAAGUGUGAGUGACGGUAACGGGUGAAGAAGCACCGGCUAACUACGUG